Molecule: ribosomal RNA, 235 nt
Filed under: uncultured prokaryote
Description: partial 16S ribosomal RNA
Rfam family: Bacterial small subunit ribosomal RNA
Source: RNAcentral
UACAGAGGUCUCAAGCGUUGUUCGGAUUCAUUGGGCGUAAAGGGUGCGUAGGCGGCGCGGUAAGUCGGGUGUGAAAUACGGCAGCUUAACUGUCGAGGUGCAAUUGAUACUGGUGGGCUUGAGUACUGAUGAGGUAGGCGGAAUGGACGGUGUAGCGGUGAAAUGCUUAGAGAUCGUCCAGAACACCGAUAGCGAAGGCAGCUUACUAAAGAGUAACUGACGCUGAGGCACGAAA